CUCCUCCAUGGAACUUCUGUUGUCAUCCAGUGGCUGAAAUCAACUGGAAGCCUACAGGGAAAGACCUGCCUCCUGGGACACAGAGCAGGCAUGGAAACAUCACAUUGCAGCAGAUGCUGGGGAUGCAGCAAUGAACAAGACAGGCCAGAUCCCUACUCUCAGAUAAACACAAUGAUCCAGGUCAGUAGGCAUUUGGUAGGAAUCUGCAUCAAACUGUUGGGCAAUGGUAGACAGCAACAUUGACGUCUGUAAAUUUACACUUGGAUUCUUAGUUUCUGGUUGGCUGCAUCCUUCUUCUGAAGGCCACUGCUCUUUUCAGAAGACCUCCCUAGAUGGCUAAGCUCUCUGGGUUGCAACAGUUGCUCUUUUUCCUUGAGCCUUAGGUUAGGGAGUUGGGAGGAAGUAAUGGCUUCCCCCACUGCUAGCUCCAGGGUGCUACACUUUCUCUUUUCUAGUUUCCCUAAUCUGGCUUACACCAUUAUAGAUAGACCCUUUAUUAAAAUAUCCUCAAUUUAUCCAUAU
This 522-nucleotide long non-coding RNA is filed under the name Homo sapiens (human). RNAcentral describes it as "non-protein coding lnc-PIKFYVE-7:3". The record is from RNAcentral. Lineage: Eukaryota; Metazoa; Chordata; Mammalia; Primates; Hominidae.